CACUGCAGAUGGCAAGAACUUUGGACGCAGCUUGAAAUAGAAAAGCUCACCCAACGUUCAUGACAGACUGACAGCCAAUUAUCAGCAUCUCUUUUCUUCACAAAUUCCUUUUUUGUACAUCUUCCAUUCCGAUUUGGGACUUAAAAAGGAGGCCAUUUUUCCAGACAGUGAUUUCUUCCAAUAUCUCAUCUCCCGGUGCCUUUUUCAUGCGUGUGUGCAUUUUUUUUUUUUUUAAACUGAGGCAGGAUCUCCCAUGGGGUUACAGUCUUGCAAGCCUUACAACUGCUGCCUACAAAGCAAAGAGGAAUGCAGACUGACUGGUGUCUGCCCCUAUGUUUGUGAGGAUUGGAGAUAUUGCUCUGACCGCUGUUGUGACGUCUGCUGCCAGAUGUGCGUGGACCUGUGCUCUUGCUUGUGUUCAGGAGACUGCAGCUACACUUUCUGCACAGUCUGUCUCGCUCUGGCGCAGAACUGCCUUUUACUUUUCACCGCCCGACAAAGUGAAACAUCAGAGGCACGGCCUGCAACCCCAGAACAGCUUGCAUAGCUGAGAGUCGGAAACAAAAGCAUGACCACAAGCCUCGAAAUAACUCACAGCCUGUGACUAUAAAAGAGGGCUCUGCACCGCAAGGAGGCAGUCUGAGUUUAGACUCUCAACAGAUCAUGAUGGCGAUGGACUUCUGAGCUGCUACGAAGGGUGAAUUACAAGUUGUAAGCAAAAGGAGAGAGCACGAACUCAAAGUUAGCAUGACCCACAGACGACCUGCACACAUCAAAAUGAGACUGCGAAGACGAGGCAUGAGCUGCAGGUCUGAUGAGGUUGGAGAUGAGAAGGCCAGAAGAUUUGACAACAGGUGUAAAAAUAGCUGUCUUCCCAGUGCUGGGGAGUGCAUACACAUGUGAAUUUGCAACUUCACAUGAUCCCGUGUGUCACAGAGAAAGUCUUAUAACCACUUUCUAUCUUUCUGCAGAAUAAAAUUCACAGCUAGGUGCCAUGAUAUGAUGGAAUGAAAGUGGUAUUAUAAAUGUCUUUUUGCUUUGUCUUUCCAGAUCAGUGGUCCUUACAAUGAGCUCAGGAUUAUUGUUGUCAUCAUGGCUGAACAAAAAGCUGCUGAACAGAAGUGAGAUUUUCCUUAUCUGAUGAAAAUGACAUUCUUUUCCCGAAUCAUACCCAAGUGAUGGCAGAGACUGGAUGUUGGACUUUUAUUGCUUUGUUUCCACCUCAUCACUGUAAAAUCUUGUUUGAAAAAGGAUUUAAAUCUGAGCUUUUGUAUUACGAAUAUGAAUACAUUUUCUUUUGUUUCAAAACUAACAUACUAUAAAAAUAUACUACUUAAUAUAGAGUGCAUAUAUGUGUUUUUUAUUUUUUAUAGGGGAGAUUAAAGUGUCUACAGACUGAGGUUUUUACCCACAUUCUACUUCAGAGCACUCAAAUUUCAGCUGGAGUGAGCAGCACUUUGAAGAAAACAAAAACAUAAUUUGGUUUCACACUCACAAUAUUAUAUCUUUUAAAGAGGAAAGAGUGCCUCAGGCCAUGGGGCACCAUUUCUCUUCCUCUGAACUAAACCUUUUUAUUAUCCUUCACAAAAUAGCUAGUUUAUGGUAAUUUCACUGAUUGGAUGAGCCAUGCCCCGAGCAUCAAAAGAGGCAGGGACUGAGGAAAAUCUAACAUAUACAGAGUGAUGUAUAUAAAACUGGAUAGUGUCCUCACGCAUCCACCUGUUUUCUCCUCUUUCUUGUUCUUUUGGGCUUUGAAGUGCAUUUGGUCUGGCCUACUGCUAAAGGUCCCUUUAAAAUUCAGCAGAUUCACCACAUGGCCUGCUCCUUCCUUCAAGUGACCUUGUGUAUUUUGCAUUUUUAGUAACUGGUAGUUGAAAGAAAUCUUGGAUUGAUAUUUUUUACUAGUUUUUAGGAAUCACUUUUCAAAGCAAGUUUCAAAAGUGUGCAUAGCCUUGCACAUGAGGGUUAUUACUCUCACAAUAAAUUUAGUCAUUUGAAAUGGGACCAUAAGCCUAAAACAGCAUUCUCUUGUCUAUAGUUAACUGGCAAAUGUAUUUGAUAGUUAACUAUAGUUAAUACUUUGCAAAAUACUAAUAAAACACUUUACAUAUUUUUGCAUUUUGUCUUGUUACAACCACAAUCUCCAGUGGUUUGUAACUGUACUUUAUACAUCAAGUCAAAAAUAGUGCAUUAUUUUGAAGUAAAGACUGUUGACUGCUAUGGUCAAAGUAUUUCAUCACAGUCCCAGCUACAAAUCUUUUUGUGUAUGUCUGUACGAACAUUGCACAUGUAGAACCAUUCUGACAUUAUUCUUUGUAAAAUGGCAUUGCUUUUUAAGAUUUUCUAUGUCUUUAAUUAAACAUUACAUGUGCCA
Molecule: long non-coding RNA, 2374 nt
Organism: Xiphophorus maculatus (southern platyfish)
Lineage: Eukaryota; Metazoa; Chordata; Actinopteri; Cyprinodontiformes; Poeciliidae
Exons: 5
Source: RefSeq, a predicted model, not a curated record